This 4496-nucleotide small RNA is filed under the name Mytilus galloprovincialis (Mediterranean mussel). Lineage: Eukaryota; Metazoa; Mollusca; Bivalvia; Mytilida; Mytilidae. The record is from RNAcentral.
AUGAGCACCAGGGCUUCAUGUGCCGACAGUCCAGACUUGUGUUUAACCAAUAUUUGGAAUAGACUAGACCAACGUUUCGGUUCAGCAGAGUUAUUAGAAUCUGCUUUGAAAACAAAACUUUCAAAUUUGCCAAAUAUGAUUGACCGUAAAGUUCUUUAUGACCUACACGAUUUGCUAAAUGAAAUUCAGGCUGUGAAAACACUCCGAGAAUAUAGUGUGAUAUUUUCAUACUUAGACUCCUCACUAGGCAUUAGACCAAUAGUUCAAAAACUGCCAAAGUUUAUUCAAGAUAAAUGGAUCACACGAGUGGUGAAUUAUAAGAAGCAGAACCAAGUGAUUUUCCCGCCUUUUAGCGAGUUCUUAAAAUUCAUUGGUGAAAUAAGUGUUAUUCGAAAUGACCCAAGUCUCCUUUUUGAAACACCUAUGAAUCAGUCAACAAGAAAACCAAGUUACAGUAAACCACAAAACACUAUGUACAAACAAAAAGAUCAGCAUCUUAUAACGGCAAAUAAGAUGGAGGUAAAUUCUACUCCUGUAACAAAGUCAAACUCAAACUCAACACAUGCCUGUUUGAUUCACAUUGGAGCCAAACACACCAUUAAUGAGUGUAAAGCUUUCCGGAGCAAAAGUUUAGAAAACAGAAAGACUCUGCUUCGAAGUCAUAACAUUUGUUUACGUUGUUGCGAUACUUCAGACCAUUUUGCAAACCGUUGUCGGGCUCAGAUACAGUGUGACAUAUGCAAAGCGUCAACUCAUUGCACUGCUCUUCAUAUAGACUUUAACAAUAAUAAUGCAGACAUUAACAAUAACUCAAAUCAAAGAACUGGUAAUGCUGCACCAAAGCAUGGCGAGGAGACACCAGCAGAAGUAAGCUCUCGUUGUACCGAGAUUUGUGGUAUUCCCAGCUUUACAGGCAAAUCAUGCGCAAAAAUUCUUCCAGUGCGAAUAUUUCCGGAAGGACAAUCGGACAAAGCUGUACUCGCAUAUGCAAUGCUUGAUGACCAAAGCAAUAGGACUCUAGGAAAAACUUGUUUGUUUGAUAGCUUAUCUGUUGAAUCUGAAACAAUCGAAUACAAGAUGGAAUCAUGUUCCGGAAGGUCGACAAGUAGUGGACGGAUUGUAGGAGGACUGGUAGUUGAAAGCGUCAGUAACAAUCUGCAAAUGAAAUUACCACCUGUUAUAGAAUGUGACAAUAUUCCAGACAAUCAAACUGAAAUUCCGACACCGGAUGUUGCUCGCCAUUACCCACACUUGCAUGACAUUGCUCAUCAAUUACAUGAACACGACGCUUCUAUGAAAAUAAUGUUACUGAUAGGCCGUGACCUUUCAAGUGCUCACCACGUUCUUGAACAAAAGUUAGGACCUCCACGGUCACCUUUUGCACAACGUUCACCACUAGGCUGGACUAUCAUUGGUGAUGUUUGUCUCUUUGGACAACAUUGUCCUUCAUCAGCGGAGUGUGAUCAGAAUUUCAUCAUAGAUAAUGGGCGCCCUACGAGUUUGAAACCAUGUGAACAAAUUAUUAACGUUCGAAAAACAUUCAUCAGAAGUGAACAACCCCAAUUGACAAAAUAUAACAUUUUCGAAACAACUAGUCACGACAAUAAGCCCGGACUGUCAAUUGAAGAUCGUAAAUUUCUAGACAUAAUGGACAAAGAAUUUCGCCUAGACUUUGAUGGUAAAUGGGUAGCGCCUUUACCUUUUGGUUCACCACAUUAUACUAUGCCAGACAAUUAUCUGCUUGCGCUUAAUCGUGCCAAAUCUCUAGAUGCUUCACUGCAUAGGAAUGAAACAAAGAAGCAGCAUCUACUCGAAUUCAUGCAGAAAAUUAUUGACAAUCACCAUGCUGAAAUUGCCCCGUAUCUACCUCCUGAUAGAGAACGUUGGUACCUUCCAUUAUUCGGGGUAUAUCACCCUCGCAAGCCAGAGCAAAUUCGCGGCGUCUUUGACGCAUCUGCAAAAUUCAACAAUGUUUCACUGAAUGACCAGCUGCUUCAAGGUCCUGAUCUCAUCAACAGUCUUCUCGGAAUACUUAUUCGAUUUAGAAAAGAGAUGGUAGGAGUAGUCGCUGAUAUCCAGCAAAUGUUCCAUUCGUUCCUGGUACAGGAAGAACAUAGAGAUUUCCUCAGAUUUCUAUGGCACAAAGAUAAUGUGAUUGAAAACCCACUUGUUACUUACCGUAUGCGUGUACAUGUCUUUGGGAAUCGACCUUCGCCCUCAAUAGCUAUGUAUGGAUUACGUCGAAUAGGAGAAUUAGCCACUGAAUCUCAUGGUGACGAUGUGAAGAAUUUUAUAAACAAUGAUUUCUAUGUUGAUGAUGGCUUGAAGUCUUGCCCGUCAAGCCAAGAUGCUAUAGACUUGAUUCUUAAAACCCAAGAAGCCAUGAAAAUGCAUGGAAAUCUGCGACUUCAUAAAUUUGCGUCCAAUAGCAAAGUUGUUAUGAAUGCGUUGGAACCCGGAGACUUAGCAAAGGGACUCGUGGAUAUGGACUUUGAGAAAGACUCACCUACUCAGCGUAGCCUAGGUCUGCUGUGGGAUUUAGGAUCCGAUACCUUUAAAUUCAGCAUCUCUAAUGAAACUAAAUCAGCAACGCGUAGAGGCAUACUCUCAGUUGUUAAUAGUCUUUACGACCCAAUGGGAUUUAUCUCCCCAAUAACUGUGCAAGGCAAAAUCAUACUUCGAAAAAUAGUGUCUUCAACAUUUGAUUGGGAUGAUCCAUUGCCUGAACAUUUGUUGACUGAAUGGAAUAAAUGGAGUCAAAACUUACCUGACUUAGAGGAUUUGCGCAUACCCCGUAUUAUCGUGCCAAAUCUUAGCAAUGCUGUAAACAAGGAACUAUUUAUUUACUGUGAUGCGUCAGAACUUGCCAUUGCAGCUGUGUGUUACCUUCAUGUUAGUUAUUCGGAUGGUUCUACUUCUACUGGAUUCGUGCUAGGUAAAGCCAAGGUUGCUCCAGCGAAAUGUACCACCAUUCCAAGACUAGAACUCUGUUCUGCAGUGCUAGGGGUUGAAAUUGCUCAGAUUGCAGUGGACCACUUGCAGAUCAAUAUUGAUAACAUCAAAUAUUUCAGUGAUAGUCGAGUAGUCUUAGGCUAUAUUAACAAUGAAAAGAGACGCUUUUUUGUUUACGUAGCCAACCGUGUUGCAAGGAUCAGAAGUUAUAGCGAACCUACUCAAUGGCUCUAUGUUCGUUCUGAAAAGAACCCUGCAGAUAUAGGAACUAGAGGUAUUCAUCCCGCAGACUUACAGAAUAGUCUCUGGCUACAUGGGCCAAGCAGAAUCGAAGCACCUAAUGUAUCUUUGGAUAAAGAUUCCGACUUCUCACUCAUUCAGCCAGAUGUUGAUGUGGAAAUCCGUUCGAACAAAGUUGAUAUUGAGAAUGUUAAACCGAAUGGUCUUGGCAACAGUGUAUUUGAGAAAUUCUCUGAUUGGAAUAGAUUGAAUUUUGCCUUAGCUACAGUUCGAAAAUUCAUUCGGCGUCAUUUAAAUUUGAAGCGAUCAGAUGGCUCAAAGAACAUGGACAAUGUUGAAUUGCUGCACAACACAGAGCAGCUUGUUCUAAGAGAGGGUACAGCAGCAAUUUUAUGAAAGUGAAUUAAAUAAAUGAUAUUCGUGACUCAAAGCCUCUAAACAAACACAGUUCUAUCGUACAACUGGAUCCAUUUAUCGGCAAUGAUGGGCUCCUACGUGUAGGUGGACGCUUGAAACAUAUUAAAUUUGAUUCUUCCUUCAAGAAUCCUAUCAUCUUACCUGCAAAACAUCAUGUUACAACUCUUAUCGUCCGUAAAUACCAUGAAGAUGUGAAACAUCAGGGACGCCAUUUUACUGAAGGCCGAAUUCGUUCAGCAGGAUACUGGGUAGUAGGUUGCAAAAGACUUGUUUCAUCCAUUCUGCACAAGUGUGUUACUUGCAGAAAACUCAGGAAAGAAUUCCAAUGUCAAAAAAUGUCAAACUUACCUGUUGAUCGCAUUGAGCCUGAACAACCACCUUUUUCGUCUGUCGGCGUUGAUAUGUUUGGUCCGUGGGAGGUGUUAACAAGGAAAACCAGAGGCGGUGCAGCAAACAGUAAACGAUGGGCUGCUCUCUUCACAUGUCUUGUAACACGAGCCGUCCACAUCGAAGUCGUGGAGGAGAUGUCAGCUUCAUCAUUCAUUAAUGCGUUACUCAGAUUUCAAGCAAUACGUGGUCCCGUCAGAAUAUUUCGUUCAGAUAGAGGCACAAAUUUUGUAGGUACCGUGAAUGAAAUGAAUAUAAAUGUCAUAGAAGUGGAAAAUGGACCGAUUAAGAAUUUCUUACAAAAACAUGGAAUUUCAUGGAUCUUCAAUUCACCACACUCUUCACACAUGGGAGGAGUGUGGGAAAGGAUGAUUGGUGUGACUCGUCGUAUUUUGGAUGCCAUGCUGCUUGAAUAUGGAUCUCGUAGUUUGACUCAUGAAGUACUCACAACAUUCUUAGCCGAGGCUAGUUAUAUCAUAAACUCUAGACCACUUCGUUGA